Molecule: ribosomal RNA, 164 nt
Filed under: Sideroxylon nadeaudii
Lineage: Eukaryota; Viridiplantae; Streptophyta; Magnoliopsida; Ericales; Sapotaceae
Also listed under: 1 other name
Description: Nesoluma nadeaudi 5.8S ribosomal RNA
Rfam family: 5.8S ribosomal RNA
About the family: 5.8S ribosomal RNA (5.8S rRNA) is a component of the large subunit of the eukaryotic ribosome. It is transcribed by RNA polymerase I as part of the 45S precursor that also contains 18S and 28S rRNA.
Source: RNAcentral
AGAACGACUCUCGGCAACGGAUAUCUCGGCUCUCGCAUCGAUGAAGAACGUAGCGAAAUGCGAUACUUGGUGUGAAUUGCAGAAUCCCGUGAACCAUCGAGUCUUUGAACGCAAGUUGCGCCCGAAGCCGUUAGGCCGAGGGCACGCCUGCCUGGGCGUCUCAC